GAAGGUCUGUAAAAUUUUAAUUUACAUCUACUAACUGCAACUUAGAUACUUUAAUUAAGCUAAAACCUC
RNAcentral lists this transfer RNA (69 nucleotides) under Xantusia arizonae. Its description in RNAcentral is "tRNA-Ala". The record is from RNAcentral. Lineage: Eukaryota; Metazoa; Chordata; Lepidosauria; Squamata; Xantusiidae.